UUCUCCAAGGUUUGACUCAGGUGCCUGCUGGGGACAGGGAGAGGGCGUGGCCAGUGAGACCGUAGUGGCUGGGGGGAUCAGGAACGAAAGGAAAGCUAGGAUUAAAGUUUCAGUAGCCUGCCUCGAAAGUGCGCCGGCACCAUGUGGGCCAGGAUUCCUGGGCGCUGAGUAAGGCAGGCAUCCCGGCUUGGAUGAGGAUGGCAGAGGCAACGGCCGCUGACAGGAGGUGGGCUGGGGGUGGGGGAACCAGGGCUCCCCACCACUUCCUCCCGCCAUACGAGCCCCUCCCCCAUCGCUGGCCAGGCACCCAACACAUGGGGGCUCAGAGAGCUGACGGACACCAGAGCCGGGGAGCACACGACACUGCCUUCCCUGCACAGCCCGCUGCUCUUCUUCCUGAGCUUCCCGCUAAUGCACCUGAGAAGGCAGUGGAAAAUGGCCAAAGUACUUGGGCCCCCGUCACCCAGAUGGAGUUCCAGGCUUCAAGCUGUGGCAUGGCCCAGCCCUGGCUAUGGUGGCCAUUUGGGGAGGGAACCAGCAGAUGAAGAUCUUUCUCUCUGCCUUUCAAAUGAUGAGAGUUCUAGAUGGGGAAGCAACCAGCAUGGAUCAGCAGCCUGAGUCCAUACUCCCUAAGCAUUCUCAGCAGGGCUAUGUAAUCCAUCUGACAACAGAAGGUGAGCAGCAGAGAUGUGAGCUCCCGCCUGGACCGCGCUGUGUCCCUGUGCAUCCACCCUCCACCUCCCUCCGGCUAACUGAGAUGGCGAGGACUGGAACAUCUUUGGAGACCAUGAUCAAGUGGCAGAGCUCCCAUCAGCCUGAUUUCCUGAGUGACUGCCUAGAGCAGAGAGCCCUACCAAGUUCUCCUCUAGGACAUAAGAAUUUGUUUCCAUGUGUCACUUUGAAGUCCUGUGUUCUCCAGAAUUUAUCCUGCCUAAUACAACAGGAUUCUCAGAGAGUCAAAUCAAGUCUCCCACCGCUACCUUCUUAACUACUUCCGUGGGACGUGAAGAGCAUGGAAGAAACAGCUCGAUUGUCUGCAGAACAAACAAGCCUGUGAGAGAAGCUCUGGGUUUUCACAAGCAGCUCAGGAGGAGAAGGAGAAGGAGGCCCCUCAGAAUGUGGAAACAUGACCAGAGUCACAGAUUCCCAGUGGCGGGAAGAACUGAGCAUCACAACAUCUAAUGUUUGGGGCCGGCGCCACGGCGUAACGGGUAAAGGCACUGCCUGCAGUGCCAGCAUCCCAUAUAGUGCGGCUUCAAGUCCUGCCUGCUCCACUUCCAAUCCAGCUCUCUGCUACAGCCUGGGAAAGCAGUAGAAGAUGGCCCAACUGCUUGGGCCCCUGCACCCACGUGGGAGACCCAGAAGAAUCUCCAGGCUUCUGGCUUCGGAUCGGCACAGCUCUGGCCGUUGUGGCCAUCUCAGGAGUGAACCAGCGGAUGGAAGACCUCACUUUCUCUCUGCCUCCGCCUCUGUAACUCUGUCUUUCAACUAACUAAAUAAAUCUUUUUUAAAAAUCU
Non-coding RNA from Oryctolagus cuniculus (rabbit), 1517 nucleotides. The record is from RefSeq and is a predicted model, not a curated record. Lineage: Eukaryota; Metazoa; Chordata; Mammalia; Lagomorpha; Leporidae.